This 482-nucleotide ribosomal RNA is filed under the name uncultured bacterium. RNAcentral describes it as "partial 16S ribosomal RNA". It matches the Rfam family "Bacterial small subunit ribosomal RNA", at positions 30 to 507 of the family's 1533-position model. The record is from RNAcentral.
AUUGAACGCUGGCGGCAUGAUUUACACAUGCAAGUCGAACGGUAACAGGCCGCAAGGUGCUGACGAGUGGCGAACGGGUGAGUAAUGCAUCGGAACGUGCCCAGUCGUGGGGGAUAACUACUCGAAAGAGUAGCUAAUACCGCAUACGAUCUAUGGAUGAAAGCGGGGGACCGUAAGGCCUCGCGCGAUUGGAGCGGCCGAUGUCAGAUUAGGUAGUUGGUGGGGUAAAGGCUCACCAAGCCAACGAUCUGUAGCUGGUCUGAGAGGACGACCAGCCACACUGGGACUGAGACACGGCCCAGACUCCUACGGGAGGCAGCAGCGGGGAAUUUUGGACAAAGGGCGCAAGCCUGAUCCAGCAAUGCCGCGUGCAGGAAGAAGGCCUUCGGGUUGUAAACUGCUUUUGUACGGAACGAAACGGCUCUGGUUAAUACCCGGGGCUAAUGACGGUACCGUAAGAAUAAGCACCGGCUAACUACGUG